GAUGAACGCUGGCGGCGUGCCUAAUACAUGCAAGUCGAGCGAACGGACGAGAAGCUUGCUUUUCUGAUGUUAGCGGCGGACGGGUGAGUAACACGUGGAUAACCUACCUAUAAGACUGGGAUAACUUCGGGAAACCGGAGCUAAUACCGGAUAAUAUUUUGAACCGCAUGGUUCAAAAGUGAAAGACGGUCUUGCUGUCACUUAUAGAUGGAUCCGCGCUGCAUUAGCUAGUUGGUAAGGUAACGGCUUACCAAGGCAACGAUGCAUAGCCGACCUGAGAGGGGGAUCGGCCACACUGGAACUGAGACACGGUCCAGACUCCUACGGGAGGCAGCAGUAGGGAAUCUUCCGCAAUGGGCGAAAGCCUGACGGAGCAACGCCGCGUGAGUGAUGAAGGUCUUCGGAUCGUAAAACUCUGUUAUUAGGGAAGAACAUAUGUGUAAGUAACUGUGCACAUCUUGACGGUACCUAAUCAGAAAGCCGCGGCUAACUACGU
This 496-nucleotide ribosomal RNA is filed under the name uncultured bacterium. RNAcentral describes it as "partial 16S ribosomal RNA". It matches the Rfam family "Bacterial small subunit ribosomal RNA", at positions 28 to 506 of the family's 1533-position model. The record is from RNAcentral.